CUUCAACGAGCCGAGCCACAGGGGCCGUUCGGGAGACCGCUGCCCGUACACGUCGAGCAGCGCGGCGGCCUC
This 72-nucleotide non-coding RNA is filed under the name Streptomyces sp. CB02488. Lineage: Bacteria; Bacillati; Actinomycetota; Actinomycetes; Kitasatosporales; Streptomycetaceae. The record is from RNAcentral.